Molecule: microRNA precursor, 103 nt
Filed under: Marmota monax (woodchuck)
Lineage: Eukaryota; Metazoa; Chordata; Mammalia; Rodentia; Sciuridae
Source: RNAcentral
AGUGGGAUAGCUGGGUCAUAUGGUGGUUCCAUUCCAAGUUUUCUAAGAAAUCUCUAUACUGCUUUCCAGAUUGGUUGUACCUAUUUGCAGUCCCACCAGCAAU